Molecule: long non-coding RNA, 231 nt
Filed under: Elaeis guineensis (African oil palm)
Lineage: Eukaryota; Viridiplantae; Streptophyta; Magnoliopsida; Arecales; Arecaceae
Description: long non-coding RNA (EGUI_LNC020669)
Source: RNAcentral
GUAUAUCAAAAUCACCAACCUGUUUUACGGUCGAAAUCCAUGAUCAUGAUACCACAAUCGUGGAUAACAACUACAUUCUACGACUGUUAGUGGGCAUAAACUGCCCACUAACCCCAUGAUUAUGAUCCGAUAAUAAGGGUUAACUACCUUUUAGUGUCAUAAAAAGUGAGACUCCACGUACUCAACGGUUACACUCAAAUCGUCUAUAAAGAGAAGGUAAGAAAACAGCAA